Molecule: ribosomal RNA, 493 nt
Filed under: uncultured bacterium
Lineage: Bacteria
Description: bacterial SSU rRNA
Rfam family: Bacterial small subunit ribosomal RNA
Source: RNAcentral
UCGAGCGAGACCAGUCCUUCGGAACUGGGGAAAGCGGCGAACGGGUGAGUAACACGUGGGUAAUCUGCCCUCGGCACUGGGAUAGCCCGGGGAAACCCGGAUUAAUACCGGAUAGCCUUUCGAGCCUUCGGGCUCGUCAGAAAAGGUGGCUUCGGCUUCCGGCUGAGGAUGAGCCCGCGGCGGAUUAGCUUGUUGGUGAGGUAAUGGCUCACCAAGGCUCCGAUCUGUAGCUGGUCUGAGAGGACGAUCAGCCACACUGGGACUGAGACACGGCCCAGACUCCUACGGGAGGCAGCAGUAGGGAAUCUUGCGCAAUGGGCGAAAGCCUGACGCAGCGACGCCGCGUGCGGGAAGAAGGCCUUCGGGUUGUAAACCGCUUUCAGGAGGGACGAAGCCACUCGGGUUAAUAGCCCAGAGGGUGACGGUACCUCCAGAAGAAGCCCCGGCUAACUACGUGCCAGCAGCCGCGGUAAUACGUAGGGGGCAAGCGUUG